RNAcentral lists this long non-coding RNA (198 nucleotides) under Capra hircus (goat). RNAcentral describes it as "lncRNA (ENSCHIG00010019446.1)". The record is from RNAcentral. Lineage: Eukaryota; Metazoa; Chordata; Mammalia; Artiodactyla; Bovidae.
GUGUCUGACUCUUUGCGACCCCAUGGACUGCAGCAUGCCAGACCUCCCUGCCCAUUGCCAACUCCUGGGGCUGGCUGAAACUCAUUUGAAGCUGAGAAGACUGGAAGACAAUUGGCGUUUUCAUUUCAGAAUCAUCACUACUUGCUAGAAUUCCUUCCUAAAGUCCCACUGUUAAUACUUCAUGGUUAGAAAAAGAAU